CACGUAGGGUGCGAGCGUUGUCCGGAAUUAUUGGGCGUAAAGAGCUCGUAGGCGGUGUGUCGCGUCGGCCGUGAAAACCUGCAGCUUAACUGUGGGCUUGCGGUCGAUACGGGCAUCACUGGAGUUCGGCAGGGGAGACUGGAAUUCCUGGUGUAGCGGUGAAAUGCGCAGAUAUCAGGAAGAACACCCGUGGCGAAGGCGACACGCUGGGCCAUACCUGACGCUAAAGCGCGACAGCAUGGGGAGCAAACGGG
RNAcentral lists this ribosomal RNA (254 nucleotides) under uncultured bacterium. Its description in RNAcentral is "partial 16S ribosomal RNA". It matches the Rfam family "Bacterial small subunit ribosomal RNA", at positions 524 to 776 of the family's 1533-position model. The record is from RNAcentral.